Molecule: ribosomal RNA, 662 nt
Filed under: uncultured bacterium
Lineage: Bacteria
Description: bacterial SSU rRNA
Rfam family: Bacterial small subunit ribosomal RNA
Source: RNAcentral
UUGGGCGUAAGCGAGCGCAGGCGGUUUUUUAGGUCUGAUGUGAAAGCCUUCGGCUUAACCGGAGAAGUGCAUCGGAAACCGGGAGACUUGAGUGCAGAAGAGGACAGUGGGACUCCAUGUGUAGCGGUGAAAUGCGUAGAUAUAUGGAAGAACACCAGUGGCGAAGGCGGCUGUCUGGUCUGCAACUGACGCUGAGGCUCGAAAGCAUGGGUAGCGAACAGGAUUAGAUACCCUGGUAGUCCAUGCCGUAAACGAUGAGUGCUAAGUGUUGGAGGGUUUCCGCCCUUCAGUGCUGCAGCUAACGCAUUAAGCACUCCGCCUGGGGAGUACGACCGCAAGGUUGAAACUCAAAGGAAUUGACGGGGGCCCGCACAAGCGGUGGAGCAUGUGGUUUAAUUCGAUGCUACGCGAAGAACCUUACCAGGUCUUGACAUCUUCUGCCAACCUAAGAGAUUAGGCGUUCCCUUCGGGGACAGAAUGACAGGUGGUGCAUGGUUGUCGUCAGCUCGUGUCGUGAGAUGUUGGGUUAAGUCCCGCAACGAGCGCAACCCUUAUUGUUAGUUGCCAGCAUUUAGUUGGGCACUCUAGCAAGACUGCCGGUGACAAACCGGAGGAAGGUGGGGAUGACGUCAAAUCAUCAUGCCCCUUAUGACCUGGGCUAC